GCCCGCCUAGCUCAAUCGGAUAGAGCGUCAGACUCUUACUUUGACUAGUCACGGGCAUCUGAAGGCUGCGAGUUCGACCCUCGCGGUGGGCU
Molecule: transfer RNA, 92 nt
Filed under: Trametes cingulata
Lineage: Eukaryota; Fungi; Basidiomycota; Agaricomycetes; Polyporales; Polyporaceae
Description: tRNA-Lys
Rfam family: tRNA
About the family: Transfer RNA (tRNA) molecules are approximately 80 nucleotides in length. Their secondary structure includes four short double-helical elements and three loops (D, anti-codon, and T loops).
Source: RNAcentral